UCAGAUGGCUGGAUGGCUGCUGCUUUUUUUUCGUAAAAGAGGAGAGGAAAGUCCGGGCUCCACAGGAUCAGGAUGCCGGGUAACGCCCGGCGGGGGUAACCCCAGGGAAAGUGCCGCAGAAAACAAACCGCCCUCCAAGGUGAUACCUUAUGGGGUAAGGGUGAAAAGGUGCGGUAAGAGCGCACCGCCGGUCUGGUAACAGAACGGGCAUGGUAAACCCCAUCCGGAGCAAGACCAUAUAGGGACAAACGCCAUGCAAAUGGCAGAUGCGAUCCUGCAUCUUGUCCGGGUAGGUUGCUAAAGAUGUCUGGUAACAGGCAUCGUAGAUGAAUAGUCGUCACCGCCAGCGCAAGCAAACGGUACAGAACCCGGCUUAUAGGCCAUCUGACAGA
The sequence is an RNase P RNA, 392 nucleotides long. It matches the Rfam family "Bacterial RNase P class A". Rfam says of the family: Ribonuclease P (RNase P) is a ubiquitous endoribonuclease, found in archaea, bacteria and eukarya as well as chloroplasts and mitochondria. Its best characterised activity is the generation of mature 5'-ends of tRNAs by cleaving the 5'-leader elements of precursor-tRNAs.